UACGGGGGGGGGCAAGCGUUGUUCGGAAUUACUGGGCGUAAAGGGCUCGUAGGUGGCCAACUAAGUCAGACGUGAAAUCCCUCGGCUUAACCGGGGAACUGCGUCUGAUACUGGAUGGCUUGAGUUCGGGAGAGGGAUGCGGAAUUCCAGGUGUAGCGGUGAAAUGCGUAGAUAUCUGGAGGAACACCGGUGGCGAAGGCGGCAUCCUGGACCGACACUGACACUGAGGAGCGAAAGCGUGGGGAGCAAACAGG
Molecule: ribosomal RNA, 254 nt
Filed under: uncultured bacterium
Lineage: Bacteria
Description: partial 16S ribosomal RNA
Rfam family: Bacterial small subunit ribosomal RNA
Source: RNAcentral